This 459-nucleotide ribosomal RNA is filed under the name uncultured bacterium. RNAcentral's name for it is "partial 16S ribosomal RNA". It matches the Rfam family "Bacterial small subunit ribosomal RNA", at positions 338 to 795 of the family's 1533-position model. The record is from RNAcentral.
CCUACGGGAGGCAGCAGUGAGGAAUAUUGGUCAAUGGGCGCGAGCCUGAACCAGCCAAGUCGCGUGAGGGAAGACGGUCCUAUGGAUUGUAAACUUCUUUUGUCUGGGAGCAAAAGACUCCACGCGUGGCGUUCCGAGAGUACCCGAAGAAAAAGCAUCGGCUAACUCCGUGCCAGCAGCCGCGGUAAUCCGGAGGAUGCGAGCGUUAUCCGGAUUUAUUGGGUUUAAAGGGUGCGCAGGCGGAAGAUCAAGUCAGCGGUAAAAUUGAGGGGCUCAACCUCUUCGAGCCGUUGAAACUGGUUGUCUUGAGUGAGCGAGAAGUAUGCGGAAUGCGUGGUGUAGCGGUGAAAUGCAUAGAUAUCACGCAGAACUCCGAUUGCGAAGGCAGCAUACCGGCGCUCAACUGACGCUGAUGCACGAAAGUGUGGGUAUCGAACAGGAUUAGAUACCCUUGUAGUC